UAGCUUAGUUAUGAUUGAAAAGUUCCUUUUAACAAUAAUUUUUCAUGUUUCUAUGAGGCUAUCACAAAGUGAAAGAUAAUGAUAAUUUGAUUUGGUAGUAGCAGCAGAAAUGAAAAUAAGAAUAAGAAUGAAACAAAAAGGGCACAGUUGACUCAUCAAUAAUUGGCAAAAUAUCAAAUAUAUGAAUUGGGAAACAAUUAGAGGAGAUUCUGAGGAGACUUUUGUUUCAGUAAGCCUAUUGGACAUGGUUUUGGUUAUGAUAUAGUACUUAGCAGUAUUAAAAUUAGUAAUAAUUAGUAGUAAUUUUAGGGUUUAUUACACAUUAUAAUGAGCAAACUUCUCCCUUUUUAACAUGUCUGAUCUUGGAUUUAAUUUUUCUGCUUUUAGUAAGAAACACAUACUAUAUAAGUAUAUAUUAGCAGAAAACCUGUAUAUUAUAC
Molecule: long non-coding RNA, 440 nt
Filed under: Bos taurus (domestic cattle)
Lineage: Eukaryota; Metazoa; Chordata; Mammalia; Artiodactyla; Bovidae
Description: long non-coding RNA NONBTAT018338
Source: RNAcentral